AGCGAACGCUGGCGGCAGGCCUAAUACAUGCAAGUCGAACGGAUCCUUCGGGAUUAGUGGCGGACGGGUGAGUAACACGUGGGAACGUGCCCUUUGGUUCGGAACAACUCAGGGAAACUUGAGCUAAUACCGGAUAAGCCCUUGGGGAAGAUUAUCGCCAUUGGAGCGGCCCGCGUCUGAUUAGCUAGUUGGUGGGGUAAAGGCCUACCAAGGCGACGAUCAGUAGCUGGUCUGAGAGGAGAUCAGCCACACUGGGACUGAGACACGGCCCA
Molecule: ribosomal RNA, 272 nt
Filed under: uncultured bacterium
Lineage: Bacteria
Description: partial 16S ribosomal RNA
Rfam family: Bacterial small subunit ribosomal RNA
Source: RNAcentral